Molecule: ribosomal RNA, 850 nt
Filed under: Staphylococcus aureus
Lineage: Bacteria; Bacillati; Bacillota; Bacilli; Caryophanales; Staphylococcaceae
Description: bacterial SSU rRNA
Rfam family: Bacterial small subunit ribosomal RNA
Source: RNAcentral
AGGAUGAACGCUGGCGGCGUGCCUAAUACAUGCAAGUCGAGCGAACGGACGAGAAGCUUGCUUCUCUGAUGUUAGCGGCGGACGGGUGAGUAACACGUGGAUAACCUACCUAUAAGACUGGGAUAACUUCGGGAAACCGGAGCUAAUACCGGAUAAUAUUUUGAACCGCAUGGUUCAAAAGUGAAAGACGGUCUUGCUGUCACUUAUAGAUGGAUCCGCGCUGCAUUAGCUAGUUGGUAAGGUAACGGCUUACCAAGGCAACGAUGCAUAGCCGACCUGAGAGGGUGAUCGGCCACACUGGAACUGAGACACGGUCCAGACUCCUACGGGAGGCAGCAGUAGGGAAUCUUCCGCAAUGGGCGAAAGCCUGACGGAGCAACGCCGCGUGAGUGAUGAAGGUCUUCGGAUCGUAAAACUCUGUUAUUAGGGAAGAACAUAUGUGUAAGUAACUGUGCACAUCUUGACGGUACCUAAUCAGAAAGCCACGGCUAACUACGUGCCAGCAGCCGCGGUAAUACGUAGGUGGCAAGCGUUAUCCGGAAUUAUUGGGCGUAAAGCGCGCGUAGGCGGUUUUUUAAGUCUGAUGUGAAAGCCCACGGCUCAACCGUGGAGGGUCAUUGGAAACUGGAAAACUUGAGUGCAGAAGAGGAAAGUGGAAUUCCAUGUGUAGCGGUGAAAUGCGCAGAGAUAUGGAGGAACACCAGUGGCGAAGGCGACUUUCUGGUCUGUAACUGACGCUGAUGUGCGAAAGCGUGGGGAUCAAACAGGAUUAGAUACCCUGGUAGUCCACGCCGUAAACGAUGAGUGCUAAGUGUUAGGGGGUUUCCGCCCCUUAGUGCUGCAGCUAACG